Molecule: unclassified non-coding RNA, 240 nt
Filed under: soil metagenome
Description: partial contains 5.8S ribosomal RNA, internal transcribed spacer 2, and large subunit ribosomal RNA
Source: RNAcentral
AACGAGGCCGACCUGCGGCUGAGUUACCUGCGGAAGGAUCAUUACACAACAAAAUAUGAGGGUCUGGCUUCGCGGCCGGCUGAAGUAUUUUUUUUCACCCAUGUCUUUUGCGCACUUGUUGUUUCCUGGGCGGGUUCGCCCGCCACCAGGACCAAACCAUAAACCUUUUUUUUAUGUAGUUGCAAUCAGCGUCAGUAAAAACAAUGUAAUUAUUACAACUUUUAACAACGGAUCUCAGAU